UGCGUAGGUGGCCAUGAAAGUCUGAUGUGAAAUCUCCGGGCUUAACCCGGAAAAUGCAUUGGAUACUCUGUGGCUGGAGGUUUGGAGGGGGGACUGGAAUUCUCGGUGUAGCAGUGAAAUGCGUAGAUAUCGAGAGGAACACCAGUGGCGAAGGCGGGUCCCUGGACAACACCUGACACUGAGGCACGAAAGCUAGGGGAGCAAACA
Molecule: ribosomal RNA, 207 nt
Filed under: uncultured bacterium
Lineage: Bacteria
Description: partial 16S ribosomal RNA
Rfam family: Bacterial small subunit ribosomal RNA
Source: RNAcentral